CCUACGGGUGGCAGCAGUGGGGAAUAUUGGGCAAUGGGCGCAAGCCUGACCCAGCAACGCCGCGUGAAGGAAGAAGGCUCUCGGGUUUUAAACCUCUUUUUUCAAGGACGAAAAAUAUGACGGUAGUUCAUGAAUAAGCCACGUCUAAAAACGUGCCAGCAGCCGCGGUAAUACGGCGGGGGCAAGCGUUAUCCGGAUUUACGGGUUGUAAAGGGGGUGUAGGCGGAACUGCAAGUCAUAUGUGAUAACCAUGGGCUCAACCCACGGACUGCAGUUGAAACUGUAGGUCUUGAGUGUUGGAGAGGUAGGCGGAAUUCGGUGUGUAGCGGUGAAAUGCGUAGAUAUACGGAGGAACACCAGUGGCGAAGGCGGCCUGCUGGACAAUAACUGACGCUGAGGCGCGAAAGCGUGGGGAGCAAACAGGAUUAGAUACCCCUGUAGUC
RNAcentral lists this ribosomal RNA (443 nucleotides) under uncultured bacterium. RNAcentral describes it as "partial 16S ribosomal RNA". It matches the Rfam family "Bacterial small subunit ribosomal RNA", at positions 338 to 795 of the family's 1533-position model. The record is from RNAcentral.